Molecule: ribosomal RNA, 1037 nt
Filed under: Staphylococcus aureus
Lineage: Bacteria; Bacillati; Bacillota; Bacilli; Caryophanales; Staphylococcaceae
Description: partial 23S ribosomal RNA
Rfam family: Bacterial large subunit ribosomal RNA
Source: RNAcentral
AGAACCUGAAACCGUGUGCUUACAAGUAGUCAGAGCCCGUUAAUGGGUGAUGGCGUGCCUUUUGUAGAAUGAACCGGCGAGUUACGAUUUGAUGCAAGGUUAAGCAGUAAAUGUGGAGCCGUAGCGAAAGCGAGUCUGAAUAGGGCGUUUAGUAUUUGGUCGUAGACCCGAAACCAGGUGAUCUACCCUUGGUCAGGUUGAAGUUCAGGUAACACUGAAUGGAGGACCGAACCGACUUACGUUGAAAAGUGAGCGGAUGAACUGAGGGUAGCGGAGAAAUUCCAAUCGAACCUGGAGAUAGCUGGUUCUCUCCGAAAUAGCUUUAGGGCUAGCCUCAAGUGAUGAUUAUUGGAGGUAGAGCACUGUUUGGACGAGGGGCCCCUCUCGGGUUACCGAAUUCAGACAAACUCCGAAUGCCAAUUAAUUUAACUUGGGAGUCAGAACAUGGGUGAUAAGGUCCGUGUUCGAAAGGGAAACAGCCCAGACCACCAGCUAAGGUCCCAAAAUAUAUGUUAAGUGGAAAAGGAUGUGGCGUUGCCCAGACAACUAGGAUGUUGGCUUAGAAGCAGCCAUCAUUUAAAGAGUGCGUAAUAGCUCACUAGUCGAGUGACACUGCGCCGAAAAUGUACCGGGGCUAAACAUAUUACCGAAGCUGUGGAUUGUCCUUUGGACAAUGGUAGGAGAGCGUUCUAAGGGCGUUGAAGCAUGAUCGCAAGGACAUGUGGAGCGCUUAGAAGUGAGAAUGCCGGUGUGAGUAGCGAAAGACGGGUGAGAAUCCCGUCCACCGAUUGACUAAGGUUUCCAGAGGAAGGCUCGUCCGCUCUGGGUUAGUCGGGUCCUAAGCUGAGGCCGACAGGCGUAGGCGAUGGAUAACAGGUUGAUAUUCCUGUACCACCUAUAAUCGUUUUAAUCGAUGGGGGGACGCAGUAGGAUAGGCGAAGCGUGCGAUUGGAUUGCACGUCUAAGCAGUAAGGCUGAGUAUUAGGCAAAUCCGGUACUCGUUAAGGCUGAGCUGUGAUGGGGAGAAGACAUUGUGU